Molecule: long non-coding RNA, 628 nt
Organism: Heterocephalus glaber (naked mole-rat)
Lineage: Eukaryota; Metazoa; Chordata; Mammalia; Rodentia; Bathyergidae
Source: RefSeq, a predicted model, not a curated record
GUGUAGAUCUGGAAAGAGCUCACAGGAGAGCAGGGGAAAUCUUGUUUCCUAUAGGAAAUCUGGUGUGAGAAAGAAACUACUCUGCCUUUCUGUCUGACAAGACGGAAUCCUUCAUUUCCUGAUGUUCUCAUGUUAAUACCCAAAGCAUGCUUGGCUGGCAAACUACACUGUCUGGGAACAAGGGAUGAAAGUUCUGGGGAGGAAAGAGAGACCAUGUGAGGUGCUGGCCUCCAUCAGCGAAUUCACCGGUCUGAAUGUGAUGAAGAUUGGUAUCUGAGAAGACAAAGGAAAUUGAAAAGCAGCAAGAGUCAGCCAGGUCAAGCCAUCCUGCAGGUGGAAACAAAUCCUGUCCAGCCUCGAAGCUGAAGAAUUAUCACAGUACCAGGGAGGAGGUUGUGCUUUGAGAGCUGGUUAUGAACAACUAUGGACACAAAGUGCAAACCCUAGCUCCUAGGAACGGAAGAAUUAACUAAGCUUUGGGGAUAACACUGUGUUUUCCUGUGGCAGCUCACUAACUGAUGAAGGUCCUGUUCCUCUCAUUUAUCAUUUUUCUUUCAGACAUGAUGUGAGCAGCAUUUCCUCUGCUAUGCCCUUCUGCCAUACUGUCCAGCCUUGGAUCCAUUGGACU